Molecule: non-coding RNA, 602 nt
Filed under: Pongo abelii (Sumatran orangutan)
Lineage: Eukaryota; Metazoa; Chordata; Mammalia; Primates; Hominidae
Source: RNAcentral
UCUUCUGGCCCUUGGAAGCCUGGCUCCUGUACCUUCACCUGGCGUCUUGGCGCCUUUUUCUCAGCGGCCUGUGGGUGGAUGUGCAUGGCGUGGCCUGGAGAGAGAAGCUCCACGUGCAAACAGACAGGGAAGCAGAGCCUGUAUCCUGAUAGCUGGCCUGGUGGCCACUCCUGCACUGAGCCUGAAGGACCACAGAGCACAUGGGGGGUUGGGCACCACUGCCAACAGCAUCACCCCACACAGAAUAAAACCAAAGAAAGAAGGUUGGGGAGAUAAUUUGGGGAUUUUCUAGGCCCCCAAUCCCAUCCAUCAGGACAAUCAAGAGUAAUGGUUCCCAGCAAGGGUCAGAGCCCAGAAGGAAAAGGCACAGGCUGCCUUGUCAGACAGUGGGCCAGAGGAACUAAGAGGCUGCAUGCCCUCAACAGGAACCUGUGGUAGCAUCCACAGAGGUCCCCUCUGGGACUGAGACUAAGAGGAGCAAUCCAAAACAACCACUGCAACACCACAAGGCCCAGGAUGCUGAAUGCCAAGGAAACUAGGGUAUGUUUAAGUCUUGUGCAAGAACACACAGGCCACGUGUAAAUCUCAUAGACCAGUAAUUC